Molecule: ribosomal RNA, 433 nt
Filed under: uncultured bacterium
Lineage: Bacteria
Description: partial 16S ribosomal RNA
Rfam family: Bacterial small subunit ribosomal RNA
Source: RNAcentral
AGCGAACGCUGGCGGCAGGCCUAACACACGCAAGUCGAACGGAUCCUUCGGGAUUAGUGGCGGACGGGUGAGUAACACAUGGGAACGUGCCCUUUGGUUCGGAACAACUCAGGGAAACUUGAGCUAAUACCGGAUGUGCCCUUCGGGGGAAAGAUUUAUCGCCAUUGGAGCGGCCCGCGUCUGAUUAGCUAGUUGGUGAGGUAACGGCCCACCAAGGCGACGAUCAGUAGCUGGUCUGAGAGGAUGAUCAGCCACACUGGGACUGAGACACGGCCCAGACUCCUACGGGAGGCAGCAGUGGGGAAUCUUGCGCAAUGGGCGAAAGCCUGACGCAGCCAUGCCGCGUGAAUGAUGAAGGUCUUAGGAUUGUAAAAUUCUUUCAGCGGGGACGAUAAUGACGGUACCCGCAGAAGAAGCUCCGGCUAACUUCGUG